AAGUUUAUAGUUUACAAAAAAAUAUUGAUCUUGUAAAUCAAAGAUGAUUUUUCUAAACUUG
RNAcentral lists this transfer RNA (61 nucleotides) under Ciconiphilus decimfasciatus. Its description in RNAcentral is "tRNA-Thr". Lineage: Eukaryota; Metazoa; Arthropoda; Insecta; Psocodea; Menoponidae. The record is from RNAcentral.